RNAcentral lists this ribosomal RNA (65 nucleotides) under uncultured bacterium. Its description in RNAcentral is "partial 16S ribosomal RNA". The record is from RNAcentral.
UGAGGAACAUGACCUUCGGCGGGGGAUAGUCGGCCCAACGGCCGGGUAAUACCGCGUACGACCAU